RNAcentral lists this ribosomal RNA (600 nucleotides) under uncultured Vibrio sp. Its description in RNAcentral is "bacterial SSU rRNA". It matches the Rfam family "Bacterial small subunit ribosomal RNA", at positions 151 to 747 of the family's 1533-position model. The record is from RNAcentral. Lineage: Bacteria; Pseudomonadati; Pseudomonadota; Gammaproteobacteria; Vibrionales; Vibrionaceae.
UGGAAACGAUGGCUAAUACCGCAUAAUGUCUUCGGACCAAAGAGGGGGAUCUUCGGACCUCUCGCGUCAAGAUUAGCCCAGGUGAGAUUAGCUAGUUGGUGGGGUAAGAGCUCACCAAGGCGACGAUCUCUAGCUGGUCUGAGAGGAUGAUCAGCCACACUGGAACUGAGACACGGUCCAGACUCCUACGGGAGGCAGCAGUGGGGAAUAUUGCACAAUGGGCGAAAGCCUGAUGCAGCCAUGCCGCGUGUAUGAAGAAGGCCUUCGGGUUGUAAAGUACUUUCAGUCGUGAGGAAGGGUGUGCAGUUAAUAGCUGCAUAUCUUGACGUUAGCGACAGAAGAAGCACCGGCUAACUCCGUGCCAGCAGCCGCGGUAAUACGGAGGGUGCGAGCGUUAAUCGGAAUUACUGGGCGUAAAGCGCAUGCAGGUGGUUCAUUAAGUCAGAUGUGAAAGCCCGGGGCUCAACCUCGGAACCGCAUUUGAAACUGGUGAACUAGAGUGCUGUAGAGGGGGGUAGAAUUUCAGGUGUAGCGGUGAAAUGCGUAGAGAUCUGAAGGAAUACCAGUGGCGAAGGCGGCCCCCUGGACAGACACUGAACU